This is a long non-coding RNA of Eublepharis macularius, 429 nucleotides long. RefSeq lists it as uncharacterized. The transcript is spliced from 3 exons. Lineage: Eukaryota; Metazoa; Chordata; Lepidosauria; Squamata; Eublepharidae. The record is from RefSeq and is a predicted model, not a curated record.
CCUUGGCGUGUCCACAGACCCCCUUUCCCAAAGGCUUGGGUCUCGGUGCCAAAUGGCUCUGCUAUGUGCAUAGGACCAAACAACAAAAGGAACAACUGGUGUCUAUGACCAGGAUGAGCCACAAAGAGGUGUGACUCCAACUGUUGGCGAAUGCCGUCUCCCGGGCGGGAGAAUCCACUAGAACUCGCAAGUCUCAGAAAGGGGGAGAGUUCACGGCCGCCUAGAACCACUCAAUAGGAAGCUAGCAAUUUUGAUCCAUCUUUUUCAAGAGUGUUCUACAAGCAGUUAUCUCCAGCUCUAGUCUCUCAAAAUGCUUAUGAUUUCUCUUAAUCCAAAUGGACACCCAGAUACAGCAGGAAUAAAAAUGUGGGUAGAGGUGUGGGACAGUGGCAUCAUGUGAUGUCACUACUAGUUGUACUCUGGAAGUGA